AUGCUCGCUUUGGCAGCACAUACACUAAAAUUGGAAUGAUACAGAGAAGAUUAGCAUGGCCCCUGUGCAAAGAUGACACACAAAUUUGUGAAGCAUUCCAUAUUUUU
Molecule: small nuclear RNA, 107 nt
Filed under: Cebus imitator (Panamanian white-faced capuchin)
Lineage: Eukaryota; Metazoa; Chordata; Mammalia; Primates; Cebidae
Source: RNAcentral